AAACGGGGAAUACCUCUCUUCCUAUACCCUGUGUGGGUUGUAAACUAUGUUCAGAAACACGCAUAGGUCUGCCUACAUUUUCUAAAUGUCACCAGACAGGAGGCACAGUACGGUGCAGGGUUGUACCUCAACAUCUGUAUUCAUGAUUGACUUAAACUGCAGUGGUGGAGGAAGUAUUCAGGUGCUUUACUGCAGUAAAAGUAAUAAUAACAUACUGCAAAUGUGUCUUUACAAGUAAAAGUCCUGCUUUGAAAAUGCUACUCAAGUUUACACAUAAAAGUAUUGUUAAAAAAAUCAAGAGUAAAAGUGUCUUUAGUCCCUGUUGUGCUGUUAUAUAUGUUUUAUUGUUAGAUUAUUGCAGAUGCAUUAAACGUGUAAGCAGCAUUUUACUGUGGUAGGUGACCUUGGUGGAGAUGAUUUGAGCUGUGGGUGGUUUAAAGUGAAGUAAA
Long non-coding RNA from Dicentrarchus labrax (European seabass), 449 nucleotides. RefSeq lists it as uncharacterized. Lineage: Eukaryota; Metazoa; Chordata; Actinopteri; Moronidae. The transcript is spliced from 2 exons. The record is from RefSeq and is a predicted model, not a curated record.